This is a transfer RNA of Verticillium dahliae VdLs.17, 95 nucleotides long. It matches the Rfam family "tRNA". From Rfam's summary of the family: Transfer RNA (tRNA) molecules are approximately 80 nucleotides in length. The record is from Rfam. NCBI's taxonomy places the organism in Eukaryota, Fungi, Ascomycota, Sordariomycetes, Glomerellales, Plectosphaerellaceae.
GGGGUCGUGGCGCAGUGGUAGCGCGUCUGUUUUGCAUAGCUUCAAUUGAGAAGCAUAUCUACAGAAGGUCCCGUGUUCAAUCCGCGGCGGCUCCA